This 406-nucleotide ribosomal RNA is filed under the name uncultured bacterium. Its description in RNAcentral is "partial 16S ribosomal RNA". It matches the Rfam family "Bacterial small subunit ribosomal RNA", at positions 30 to 526 of the family's 1533-position model. The record is from RNAcentral.
AUUGAACGCUGGCGGCAGGCCUAACACAUGCAAGUCGAACGAGUGGCGGACGGGUGAGUAAUGUCUGGGAAACUGCCCGCUGGAGGGGGAUAACUACUGGAAACGGUAGCUAAUACCGCAUAUCAUCGGAUGUGCCCAGAUGGGAUUAGCUUGGAGGUGAGGUAUCGGCGCACCUAGGCGCCGAUCCCUAGCUGGUCGGAGAGGAUGACCAGCCACACUGGAACGGAGACACGGUCCAGACUCCUACGGUAGGCAGCAGUGGGGAAUAUUGCACAAUGGGCGCAAGCCUGAUACAGCCAUGCCGCGUGUAUGAAGAAGGCCUGCGGGUUGUAAAGUACUUUCAGCGGGGAGGCGUUACCCGCAGAAGAAGCACCGGCUAACUCCGUGCCAGCAGCCGCGGUAAUUC